RNAcentral lists this ribosomal RNA (440 nucleotides) under uncultured bacterium. Its description in RNAcentral is "bacterial SSU rRNA". It matches the Rfam family "Bacterial small subunit ribosomal RNA", at positions 958 to 1398 of the family's 1533-position model. The record is from RNAcentral.
AACGCGAAGAACCUUACCUGGGCUCGAAAUGUUAUGGACCGGAGUAGAAAUAUUCCUUCCCAGCAAUGGGCCGUAAUAUAGGUGCUGCAUGGCUGUCGUCAGCUCGUGUCGUGAGAUGUUGGGUUAAGUCCCGCAACGAGCGCAACCCUUAUCCCCAGUUGCCAUCAUUAAGUUGGGCACUCUGGUGAAACCGCCUCGGAUAACGGGGAGGAAGGUGGGGAUGACGUCAAGUCCUCAUGGCCUUUAUGUCCAGGGCUACACACGUGCUACAAUGACCGGUACAAACCGUCGCAAACCCGUGAGGGGGAGCUAAUCGGAAAAAGCCGGCCUCAGUUCGGAUCGCAGUCUGCAACUCGACUGCGUGAAGCUGGAAUCGCUAGUAAUCGCGGAUCAGAAUGCCGCGGUGAAUACGUUCCCGGGCCUUGUACACACCGCGCAUA